RNAcentral lists this ribosomal RNA (467 nucleotides) under uncultured bacterium. Its description in RNAcentral is "partial 16S ribosomal RNA". It matches the Rfam family "Bacterial small subunit ribosomal RNA", at positions 28 to 507 of the family's 1533-position model. The record is from RNAcentral.
GACGAACGCUGGCGGCGUGCUUAACACAUGCAAGUCGAACGGAAAGGCCUCUUUCGGGGGGUACUCGAGUGGCGAACGGGUGAGUAACACGUGAGUAACCUGCCCUUGACUUUGGGAUAACUUCAGGAAACUGGGGCUAAUACCGGAUAGGAGCUCCUGCUGCAUGGUGGGGGUUGGAAAGUUUCGGCGGUUGGGGAUGGACUCGCGGCUUAUCAGCUUGUUGGUGGGGUAGUGGCUUACCAAGGCUUUGACGGGUAGCCGGCCUGAGAGGGUGACCGGCCACAUUGGGACUGAGAUACGGCCCAGACUGCUACGGGAGGCAGCAGUGGGGAAUAUUGCACAAUGGGUGGAAGCCUGAUGCAGCAACGCCGUGUGCGGGAUGACGGCCUUCGGGUUGUAAACCGCUUUCGCUCAUGACGAAGCUUUGUGUGACGGUAGUGGGUAAAGAAGCACCGGCUAACUACGUG